GAUGAACGCUGGCGGCGUGCCUAAUACAUGCAAGUCGAGCGAACGGACGAGAAGCUUGCUUCUCUGAUGUUAGCGGCGGACGGGUGAGUAACACGUGGAUAACCUACCUAUAAGACUGGGAUAACUUCGGGAAACCGGAGCUAAUACCGGAUAAUAUUUUGAACCGCAUGGUUCAAAAGUGAAAGACGGUCUUGCUUUCACUUAUAGAUGGAUCCGCGCUGCAUUAGCUAGUUGGUAAGGUAACGGCUUACCAAGGCAACGAUGCAUAGCCGACCUGAGAGGGUGAUAGGCCACACUGGAACUGAGACACGGUCCAGACUCCGACGGGAGGCAGCAGUAGGGAAUCUUCCGCAAUGGGCGAAAGCCGGACGGAGAAACGCCGCGUGAGUGAUGAAGGUCUUCGGAUCGUAAAACUCUGUUAUUAGGGAAGAACAUAUGUGUAAGUAACUGUGCACAUCUUGACGGUACCUAAUCAGAAAGCCACGGCUAACUAAGUG
This 497-nucleotide ribosomal RNA is filed under the name uncultured bacterium. Its description in RNAcentral is "partial 16S ribosomal RNA". It matches the Rfam family "Bacterial small subunit ribosomal RNA", at positions 28 to 507 of the family's 1533-position model. The record is from RNAcentral.